GUCACCUUCCUUUUUCGAAACAAAAAAAAACCUUGCACCAGCCGGGGAGGAUGAUUUGGUAAUAAAACCCUUCUUCAAAUUCUCUGUGAUAUACUCUUCAAGUACUUUGUUUUCUGUCACAGAGAGGGGAUACACGGUACCCCUAGGGGGCAUAGUACCAGGCAACAAAUCAAUAGCGCAGUCAUAAGAACGAUGGGGUGGUAAUUUGUUUGCUUCCCUUUGUUCAAAGACUGCCUUGAGAUCC
Pelobates cultripes (western spadefoot toad) is the source of this 244-nucleotide non-coding RNA. The record is from the annotation of a GenBank genome assembly. Lineage: Eukaryota; Metazoa; Chordata; Amphibia; Anura; Pelobatidae.